This 970-nucleotide non-coding RNA is filed under the name Pedionomus torquatus (plains-wanderer). Its description in RNAcentral is "12S ribosomal RNA". It matches the Rfam family "Bacterial small subunit ribosomal RNA". Lineage: Eukaryota; Metazoa; Chordata; Aves; Charadriiformes; Pedionomidae. The record is from RNAcentral.
AAAGACUUAGUCCUAACCUUACCGGUAAUUCUUGGCAAAUAUAUACAUGCAAGUAUCCGCACCCCAGUGUAAAUACCCUUGGCCCCUUAUAUAAGGAAAGAGGAGUGGACAUCAGGCGCACCACCUACCGUAGCCCAAGACGUCUUGCUCAGCCACACCCCCACGGGUACUCAGCAGUAAUUAACAUUAAGCAAUAAGUGUAAGCUUGACUUAGUUAUGGCAAACCUCUAAGGGUUGGUAAAUCUUGUGCCAGCCACCGCGGUCACACAAGAGACCCAAAUUAACGAUUACACGGCGUAAAGAGUGGCACUACGCUAUCCUCAAAACUAAGACUAAAGUACAACUAAGCUGUCAUAAGCUCAAGAUGCUACUAACCCCUCCCCUCAACACGGUCUUAGUCUAUCAGACCAACUUAUUCCACGAAAGCUAAGACACAAACUGGGAUUAGAUCCCCACUAUGCUUAGCCCUAAAUCUCGAUGUCCACCUUACUAGGACAUCCGCCUGAGAACUACGAGCACAAACGCUUAAAACUCUAAGGACUUGGCGGUACCCCAAACCCACCUAGAGGAGCCUGUUCUAUAAUCGAUAACCCACGUUGCACCCGACCGCUCUUUGCCAAAUCAGCCUACAUACCGCCGUCGCCAGCUCACCUUCACUGAAAGUACUACAGUGAGCAUAAUAGCCCGCCCGCUAAUAAGACAGGUCGAGGUAUAGCCCAUAGAGCGGAAGAAAUGGGCUACACUCUCUAGAGUAGAGAAAUUCACGGAAGGGGGCGUGAAAUAGCCCCUAGAAGGCGGAUUUAGCAGUAAAACGGGACAAUAAAGUCCCUUUUAAGCUGGCUCUGGGGUACGUACAUACCGCCCGUCACCCUCCUCACAAGCUACUAACCACCAUAAGUAAUUCCCCACACAGCUGAAGAGGAGGUAAGUCGUAACAAGGUAAGUGUACCGGAAGGUGCACUUAGCACAA